AACUCUUAGCGGUGGAUCACUCAGCUCGUGCAUCAAUUAAGAACGCAGCUAGCUCCGAGAAUUAAUGUGAAUUGCAGGAUACAUUGAUCAUCGACACUUUGAGCGCACUUGUGGUCCCGGCUUCCUCCCAGGGCUACUCCUGUCUGAGCAUCA
RNAcentral lists this ribosomal RNA (153 nucleotides) under Dromaius novaehollandiae (emu). RNAcentral describes it as "5.8S ribosomal RNA (ENSDNVG00000015798.1)". It matches the Rfam family "5.8S ribosomal RNA". Rfam says of the family: 5.8S ribosomal RNA (5.8S rRNA) is a component of the large subunit of the eukaryotic ribosome. It is transcribed by RNA polymerase I as part of the 45S precursor that also contains 18S and 28S rRNA. The record is from RNAcentral. Lineage: Eukaryota; Metazoa; Chordata; Aves; Casuariiformes; Dromaiidae.